Molecule: ribosomal RNA, 173 nt
Filed under: uncultured Gammaproteobacteria bacterium
Lineage: Bacteria; Pseudomonadati; Pseudomonadota; Gammaproteobacteria
Description: partial 16S ribosomal RNA
Rfam family: Bacterial small subunit ribosomal RNA
Source: RNAcentral
CCCUGAUGCAGCCAUGCCGCGUGUAUGAAGAAGGCCUUCGGGUUGUAAAGUACUUUCAGUCGUGAGGAAGGGCAUGUAGUUAAUAGCUGCAUGCCUUGACGUUAGCGACAGAAGAAGCACCGGCUAACUCCGUGCCAGCAGCCGCGGUAAUAAUCGAAUUCCCGCGGCCGCCA